UGGGGUCUAAUGUUAAGCUAUUUUAAACUUUCAGGCCGUCUAUUGAGUUCCUAAAGGGAUUUCUAUUGUGUUUAACCCUAAACUCAGAAUAUUCAAAUACACAUUUGUUUAUUUUCAGGUUUUCUUCCCAAAUUUUUAAAUUUCAACUGGUUAUUGCUCUCUCUCCGUUUUGAUUUUUUGCUUGGUUAGUCGCCCAGAGAGUUGCCGUUAACGACACCGCCAGCACUAAAAUGUUCAGCUCGUCAUUUUCGAUCUGCUGGUGGUGGUGCCUCCUUCACCGUCAUCGUCGGUUGCAAGAUAGGCUGGGAAAAGCGUUUGGGUUUCGUAAAUACAUCAUCACUGCCGCUCACUGUCGUGAACUUACACCGUUCCUCUACGAGGGUAACAUCUUCGUCCUGUUUCUACAUGGAAUCCUCUACGGAUGGCAUAAUCCCCCUUAUGUUUCUGUAUGGGAUCCUCUAAGGAUGAAAAAAUCUCCAUCAUGUUUCUGUUUGGGAUCUAUUCGGAGGGUUAUAUUCCCAUUCUGAUUUUUGAUUUCUGUUUCUGUUGGGAUCCUCUAUGGAGGACGAUAUCCACAUCCUAUUUCUAAUAGGGAUCCUAUAUGGAGGGUUAUAUCCUCAUCCUAAUUUUUGUAUUCUAUUUCGGGUACCUCUUCGGAGGGUAAUGUCCUUAUCCUGUUAUUCUCGACGAAACGUAAGGUUGUGUGAAUUUCCUGUUAUAAUACUUUGGUACUGGUUAGUUAUUUUACUAUUGCUUGAAUUUAAAGUUGCAUCUUUAUG
Long non-coding RNA from Hibiscus syriacus, 779 nucleotides. RefSeq lists it as uncharacterized. The record is from RefSeq and is a predicted model, not a curated record. Lineage: Eukaryota; Viridiplantae; Streptophyta; Magnoliopsida; Malvales; Malvaceae. The transcript has 2 exons.